Molecule: ribosomal RNA, 419 nt
Filed under: uncultured prokaryote
Description: bacterial SSU rRNA
Rfam family: Archaeal small subunit ribosomal RNA
Source: RNAcentral
GUGCCAGCAGCCGCGGUAAUACGUAGGUCCCGAACGUUGCGCGAAUUUACUGGGCCUAAAGCGUCCGUAGCCGGGCUGGUAAGUCCUCCGGGAAAUCUGGUCGCUUAACGAUCAGACUGCCGGAGGAUACUGCCAGCCUUAGGACCGGGAGAGGCCGGGGGUAUUCCCGGGGUAGGGGUGAAAUCCUGUAAUCCCGGGAGGACCACCUGUGGCGAAGGCGCCCGGCUGGAACGGGUCCGACGGUGAGGGACGAAGGCCAGGGGAGCGAACCGGGUUAGAUACCCGGGUAGUCCUGGCUGUAAACGAUGCGGACUAGGUGUCACCGAAGCUACGAGCUUCGGUGGUGCCGGAGGGAAGCCGUUAAGUCCGCCGCCUGGGGAGUACGGCCGCAAGGCUGAAACUUAAAGGAAUUGGCGGGG